UUUUUUUUUCUUUUUUCUUUUUUACAAUCAGGACAUAUAAUUCUACCUUCUCUGCACUUAGGUGACAAAAUGAAACAUAGCAUAAAAAUUGCUGACAUGGCAUCGACGUCAAUAUGCCACAUCAGCACCACAUCAUACAUGACGUCACGUCACCAUGCCACAUCAUACACGGGUGCCACAUCAGUAUGUCACUCAGUGCCACAUCAUGCAUAGCACCACAUUAGCAUUCCACGUUAACAUCGUUAGCAAUUUGUUCUUACAAUGCAAACGGAGCCAAAAUUCCUAUCCUUAAUUACAACAAAACAAAGUGCAUGUCCU
This 318-nucleotide unclassified non-coding RNA is filed under the name Hevea brasiliensis (rubber tree). The record is from RNAcentral. Lineage: Eukaryota; Viridiplantae; Streptophyta; Magnoliopsida; Malpighiales; Euphorbiaceae.